RNAcentral lists this ribosomal RNA (558 nucleotides) under uncultured bacterium. RNAcentral's name for it is "bacterial SSU rRNA". It matches the Rfam family "Bacterial small subunit ribosomal RNA", at positions 338 to 916 of the family's 1533-position model. The record is from RNAcentral.
CCUACGGGAGGCAGCAGUGGGGAAUCUUGCACAAUGGAGGAAACUCUGAUGCAGCGAUGCCGCGUGAGUGAAGAAGGCCUUUGGGUUGUAAAGCUCUUUCGUCGGGGAAGAAAAUGACUGUACCCGAAUAAGAAGGUCCGGCUAACUUCGUGCCAGCAGCCGCGGUAAUACGAAGGGACCUAGCGUAGUUCGGAAUUACUGGGCUUAAAGAGUUCGUAGGUGGUUGAAAAAGUUAGUGGUGAAAUCCCAGAGCUUAACUCUGGAACUGCCAUUAAAACUUUUCAGCUAGAGUAUGAUAGAGGAAAGCAGAAUUUCUAGUGUAGAGGUGAAAUUCGUAGAUAUUAGAAAGAAUACCAAUUGCGAAGGCAGCUUUCUGGAUCAUUACUGACGCUGAGGAACGAAAGCAUGGGUAGCGAAGAGGAUUAGAUACCCUCGUAGUCCAUGCCGUAAACGAUGUGUGUUAGACGUUGGAAAUUUAUUUUCAGUGUCGCAGCGAAAGCGAUAAACACACCGCCUGGGGAGUACGACCGCAAGGUUAAAACUCAAAUGAAUUGACGG